CAGUGGAUUAUCAAACAAAUAUUGCCAUUACAAACGCACACAUUAAGCUUGCCUCUGAAAAGAUUAUUGUAGGUGAUGGUUUUGUGGAAAGUGGAUUGGAGCAAGUAAUUAAAAACAUUAUUGAAGACGAUACAACUUAUAGUUUAG
Adelges cooleyi (spruce gall adelgid) is the source of this 147-nucleotide long non-coding RNA. RefSeq lists it as uncharacterized. The record is from RefSeq and is a predicted model, not a curated record. Lineage: Eukaryota; Metazoa; Arthropoda; Insecta; Hemiptera; Adelgidae. The transcript is spliced from 3 exons.